Non-coding RNA from Podarcis lilfordi (Lilford's wall lizard), 78 nucleotides. Lineage: Eukaryota; Metazoa; Chordata; Lepidosauria; Squamata; Lacertidae. The record is from the annotation of a GenBank genome assembly.
AAUGUGUGUGUGUGUGUGUGUGGAUGCACGCGCGUACAUACACGUACACAUACAUACAUACAUACACACAUACACAUA